UGCUGCUGCAAUGUAAACAGCUAAAUGGCUGUGGAUGGGCAGCAAUGGCUGUAACCUGCUGGUAUUUUUGGUUAUUGUUCUGGGUAGCUCGGGUUACCUGGUUGCUUGACUUGUAUUAAUAAUAGGCCCUUCUACUGAUUGGCUUCUCCAGCUCAUGAAUGGUAAAUAUUUAACAAGUGUGGUUUCUCUUGCUUCAGUCCUCCCCACAGAAUACAUUAUUAAUGCCAUCAUAUGUGUGCAUGAGAGAGACAGAGAAAGAUGAGAAACAGAAUGUAUAAUGGCCUGGAUGGAUUUAAAGAGGUUAAGGACAUGUGUUUGGGAUGAAUGGCUGCAUUACUCAGGAGUAAGGCUACAGUUUUGCCACGGAGGUGGGGUAACAGAAAUCGUGAAUUUGAAUAAGGUCAGUGAAGUCUUGGAAAGGGCUGUACAAAUACAUUUGAUUAGGCCCCCAAACCAAGUGGUGUUGCAGCCUGGCACAUGGGGCACAGCUGCACCAGGUUGCAAACACCCUGAGCAUGGAGCUGUUUUUUCUCCCCACACUUCUGCUGUGAAAUUUACUAAAAUUUCCAUGGCAGGAGUGCCAUGUAUGAGUUAACGCCCAUACAUCUUUCAUGCCAGCUCCCAUACUGAUCUAUUCUGUGUAUGCCACAUGUUAUAGAAAAAAAGUAUAUUGUUAAUAUAAACACCAAGAAACAGAACCCCCAUCCUAAAUGUUUCCCAAUGUUCUUCUCUGCAGGGAACCAUCUGUCACAUAAUUCCCAUUGUAUCAGAAAGAUCUUUUAACCUCUUAUAUUUCUAGAUUGGAGACAGUGGGACUGACCUGGCCUGACUGCUGGAGGGACAACCAAGUGAAGCAUGCCUCUCCAGGUGGAGUUUUGGAUACAUGACGGAGGACAACAUGCAGGCAGAAUUGAUGUUGAUCACUGAUUGUAGAGCCCAGAAGUCCAGUCCAGGAUUAGGACCCUAUUGUGGGGCCGGCUCCAGGGUUUUUGCCACCCAAGCGGCGGGG
Long non-coding RNA from Trachemys scripta elegans, 1009 nucleotides. RefSeq lists it as uncharacterized. The record is from RefSeq and is a predicted model, not a curated record. Lineage: Eukaryota; Metazoa; Chordata; Testudines; Emydidae. The transcript is spliced from 3 exons.